GGGAAAGCCGCCCUGCUAGCACUAGGUGAGCUGAGAGGACUUGGGCUGGUGCUGUGCUAGGAUAAGGGCACCAGCUCCGUUUCCUUUAUCCUUCUGUCUCUCCAAACGAUUUACCUGUGCAGUUACAAAGUGCAAGUUGGUUGCCUAAGGUUCUUCACGCUGAUUUCCUGUUCUUCUACACGCCUGUGAAAGCUCUUACUAAGAACAUCCAAGGGGUCAAGAAUAAUGCUACUGACCAGGCUGCUUUCCUGCCUCUUCCAAAUUGGAACUCCCAUCUCGAUCUGGAACAGCUGCAGGGAGAAACAUGCUGCUGGGCAUCACCAUUUCGGGGGUGGUCACCUGAGGAAACAGGGAGGGUCACAUGGAGAGAAAAAGCACAAACGGGAACGGUUUAAAAAUUAUUUAAUAAGCAAAAUUAGCCUUCACCAGUAUAAAGCUGAAGGUGUCACUUUUCAUAGCUCACUGAAGAUUCAUGUUUAUUAGACAAAGCUCACAUCAGUCAAAAGUGUUUCUACGGUUACAUUCUGGACAUAAUUAGCAGUGCACACUUGAAGAAUAAUCUUAUUAUUAAUAUUUUUCCUUUAUGCAGAAUUUUGACUUUGAUCACUGACAAUGUUUUGUCAUGGGCUGUGAAACUUCUUGUGCAACCAAUUAGGUAGAUAAGUUGAAAGGCCCACCUUAAGCUGCUGAAAACAUAAUAAGGGCCCUAAUUAAAUCAUACCUAGUAAAGUACACUGUAAUCUUGAAGCAGGGAGCAUUGUAGUACUGUUUUCAAAAUGUAUUCAGGCAAGAAGAGGAGGGAGUAAGAGUGAAGAAAAGGGUGAGAAGGAGCGAAGAGAACAAAGGGAAGGCUAAGGACACCCAGACACACUGGCGGAUUUUCCAGGAAACAACAUUUUGUAACCCUUUACAAACUGACUCACUCACUCAAGCCCAAAUUUCUUUUGGAGGCAGACACUAUCUGAGGGGACAUCUGGCCAGUGUUCCAGCCUCUGCAGGUGGCCUGCACAGCAUUCUACAACAGGGCUGCCCCACCUUGACCAUGAGCAUUGCUCUCUAAUAUAGCACAUUUGAAACUGGCCUGGACCCAGAAACCUACAAUUUUUAAGCCAGAUCCUCAGACCUAGAUCUCUAGGCCUCCCUGCCACCUGGUUAGAAGCCUGUCCAAACCAGAUGUCAUUUGCCCUGUGUUAAUGUGCUAAGCAGCCCUCAAUAGCCAAUGUAACAGUGAAAGGUUCUUUGUUUAAACAUACAGCAGCAGUCCCCGUACCUGCUAUGGGGUAGGCAGGUUAGUGAUGAUGAUAUUUCCAAAUGAAUUAGAAACUGUCUCCCAUUUGAUGACAGCCUGAGAAGGGAACUGACCUACAGGUUACAGGCACAGAAAAGUACAGUCCCCUUUAUUCUCUCUACAUGGCACCCAGCCCCAGCUGGAGGCAUUCUUUUCUCAGCACACUGCUUGGAAAUAGCAGAGAUUACAACACUUAGAUACUUGUUCAAAAUUAGUAUUUUUAAUAAAUGACUAUGAAUUUUUGAAUGGUUUGAAGAGCCGGUCCUUGUCCCU
This is a long non-coding RNA of Lepus europaeus (European hare), 1561 nucleotides long. RefSeq lists it as uncharacterized. NCBI's taxonomy places the organism in Eukaryota, Metazoa, Chordata, Mammalia, Lagomorpha, Leporidae. The transcript has 3 exons. The record is from RefSeq and is a predicted model, not a curated record.